UGGCGGGCCUGGUUUUGACGUCACAAACAUGGGACGUUUGCCCCUCCCUUCCUUAUAGAAGGACCUUCCUGUGUAUUCCUUGGGUUGUAGUGGAUUGAGAGGGAGCCUGGAAUGGCCCUGAAGACAAGUUCCGUUUUUACUCUGGAAGUAAUCGACACUUGAACAUCACUGUAUAGUUCUCAAAAGGUUUUUUUUUUUUUUUUUUGGUAAUCUAAAUGAAGGCAGCAAAAAGGAGUCAUUAUCGCAGAAUAGGAUCAUCCUCCUCUUCAAUUCAGGAAACUAAGUCACGGAGAGUGUGUCUCCACCUGGUGACAUCAACCCAUGGAAGAAACUGCCAGUUCCUGUGA
This 347-nucleotide long non-coding RNA is filed under the name Bos indicus x Bos taurus (hybrid cattle). RNAcentral describes it as "lncRNA (ENSBIXG00005012028.1)". The record is from RNAcentral. Lineage: Eukaryota; Metazoa; Chordata; Mammalia; Artiodactyla; Bovidae.